This 766-nucleotide ribosomal RNA is filed under the name Bacteroides sp. ES-01. Its description in RNAcentral is "bacterial SSU rRNA". It matches the Rfam family "Bacterial small subunit ribosomal RNA", at positions 24 to 782 of the family's 1533-position model. Lineage: Bacteria; Pseudomonadati; Bacteroidota; Bacteroidia; Bacteroidales; Bacteroidaceae. The record is from RNAcentral.
UCAGAUGAACGCUAGCUACAGGCUUAACACAUGCAAGUCGAGGGGCAGCAUGGUCUUAGCUUGCUAAGGCCGAUGGCGACCGGCGCACGGGUGAGUAACACGUAUCCAACCUGCCGUCUACUCUUGGACAGCCUUCUGAAAGGAAGAUUAAUACAAGAUGGCAUCAUGAGUCCGCAUGUUCACAUGAUUAAAGGUAUUCCGGUAGACGAUGGGGAUGCGUUCCAUUAGAUAGUAGGCGGGGUAACGGCCCACCUAGUCUUCGAUGGAUAGGGGUUCUGAGAGGAAGGUCCCCCACAUUGGAACUGAGACACGGUCCAAACUCCUACGGGAGGCAGCAGUGAGGAAUAUUGGUCAAUGGGCGAGAGCCUGAACCAGCCAAGUAGCGUGAAGGAUGACUGCCCUAUGGGUUGUAAACUUCUUUUAUAAAGGAAUAAAGUCGGGUAUGGAUACCCGUUUGCAUGUACUUUAUGAAUAAGGAUCGGCUAACUCCGUGCCAGCAGCCGCGGUAAUACGGAGGAUCCGAGCGUUAUCCGGAUUUAUUGGGUUUAAAGGGAGCGUAGAUGGAUGUUUAAGUCAGUUGUGAAAGUUUGCGGCUCAACCGUAAAAUUGCAGUUGAUACUGGAUAUCUUGAGUGCAGUUGAGGCAGGCGGAAUUCGUGGUGUAGCGGUGAAAUGCUUAGAUAUCACGAAGAACUCCGAUUGCGAAGGCAGCCUGCUAAGCUGCAACUGACAUUGAGGCUCGAAAGUGUGGGUAUCAACAGGAUAGA